AACGAACGCUGGCGGCAGGCUUAACACAUGCAAGUCGAACGGAUCCUUCGGGAUUAGUGGCAGACGGGUGAGUAACGCGUGGGAACGUACCCUUUGCUACGGAAUAACUCAGGGAAACUUGAGCUAAUACCGUAUGUGCCCUACGGGGGAAAGAUUUAUCGGCAAAGGAUCGGCCCGCGUUGGAUUAGCUAGUUGGUGGGGUAAUGGCCUACCAAGGCGACGAUCCAUAGCUGGUCUGAGAGGAUGAUCAGCCACACUGGGACUGAGACACGGCCCAGACUCCUACGGGAAGCAGCAGUGGGGAAUAUUGGACAAUGGGCGCAAGCCUGAUCCAGCCAUGCCGCGUGAGUGAUGAAGGUCUUAGGACUGUAAAGCUCUUUCACCGGUGAAGAUAAUGACGGUAGCCGGAGAAGAAGCCCCGGCUAACUUCGUG
RNAcentral lists this ribosomal RNA (433 nucleotides) under uncultured bacterium. Its description in RNAcentral is "partial 16S ribosomal RNA". It matches the Rfam family "Bacterial small subunit ribosomal RNA", at positions 29 to 507 of the family's 1533-position model. The record is from RNAcentral.